CGGAUAUUUUAUCUGGGAUACACAAAUAUUUGUCUGCUAUACAUCUUUUACUUCUUCUGCACAAGUAUAGAAUACACAGUGUUUAUAUAUCAACACAGUUUGGUUUUGUUCAACAUGUCAAUUUCAGCCAAAUCUGGAACAUGGAAAGGACAUUACACACAGAAUAACAAUUAUCCUUUUACCAUACAACUUUUU
Saccostrea cuccullata (small rock oyster) is the source of this 195-nucleotide long non-coding RNA. RefSeq lists it as uncharacterized. The transcript has 3 exons. NCBI's taxonomy places the organism in Eukaryota, Metazoa, Mollusca, Bivalvia, Ostreida, Ostreidae. The record is from RefSeq and is a predicted model, not a curated record.